RNAcentral lists this ribosomal RNA (429 nucleotides) under Chloroflexota bacterium. RNAcentral's name for it is "Chloroflexi bacterium partial 16S ribosomal RNA". It matches the Rfam family "Bacterial small subunit ribosomal RNA", at positions 355 to 776 of the family's 1533-position model. The record is from RNAcentral. Lineage: Bacteria; Bacillati; Chloroflexota.
UGGGGAAUAUUGCACAAUGGGCGCAAGCCUGAUGCAGCCAUGCCGCGUGUAUGAAGAAGGCCUUCGGGUUGUAAAGUACUUUCAGCGGGGAGGAAGGGAGUAAAGUUAAUACCUUUGCUCACUGACGUUACCCGCAGAAGAAGCACCGGCUAACUCCGUGCCAGCAGCCGCGGUAAUACGGAGGGUGCAAGCGUUAAUCGGAAUUACUGGGCGUAAAGCGCACGCAGGCGGUUUGUUAAGUCAGAUGUGAAAUCCCCGGGCUCAACCUGGGAACUGCAUCUGAUACUGGCAAGCUUGAGUCUCGUAGAGGGGGGUAGAAUUCCAGGUGUAGCGGUGAAAUGCGUAGAGAUCUGGAGGAAUACCGGUGGCGAAGGCGGCCCCCUGGACGAAGACUGACGCUCAGGUGCGAAAGCGUGGGGAGCAAACAGG